Molecule: small nuclear RNA, 106 nt
Organism: Suncus etruscus (white-toothed pygmy shrew)
Lineage: Eukaryota; Metazoa; Chordata; Mammalia; Eulipotyphla; Soricidae
Source: RefSeq, a predicted model, not a curated record
GUACUUGCUUCAGCAGCACAUAUACUAAAACUGGAACAAUACAAAGAAAAUUAACAUGGCCCAUGCACAGGAUGACAUGAAAAUUCGUGAAGCAUUCCAUAUUAAA